UACGGAGGGUGCAAACGUUGCUCGGAAUCAUUGGGCGUAAAGCGCACGUAGGCGGCCCAGCAAGUCGGGUGUGAAAGCCCUCGGCUCAACCGAGGAAGUGCAUUCGAAACUACUGGGCUUGGAUACUGGAGAGGAUCGCGGAAUUCCCGGUGUAGAGGUGAAAUUCGUAGAUAUCUGGAGGAACACCGGUGGCGAAGGCGGCAUCCUGGACCGGCAUUGACGCUGAGGCGCGAAAGCCAGGGGAGCAAACGGG
Molecule: ribosomal RNA, 253 nt
Filed under: uncultured bacterium
Lineage: Bacteria
Description: partial 16S ribosomal RNA
Rfam family: Bacterial small subunit ribosomal RNA
Source: RNAcentral